RNAcentral lists this ribosomal RNA (253 nucleotides) under uncultured bacterium. RNAcentral describes it as "partial 16S ribosomal RNA". It matches the Rfam family "Bacterial small subunit ribosomal RNA", at positions 524 to 776 of the family's 1533-position model. The record is from RNAcentral.
GACGUAGGGCGCGAGCGUUGUCCGGAUUUAUUGGGCGUAAAGAGCUCGUAGGCGGCUUGUCGCGUCGACUGUGAAAACCCGCGGCUCAACUGUGGGCUUGCAGUCGAUACGGGCAGGCUGGAGUUCGGUAGGGGAGACUGGAAUUCCUGGUGUAGCGGUGAAAUGCGCAGAUAUCAGGAAGAACACCAACGGCGAAGGCAGCUCGCUGGGACGGAACUGACGCUAAGGCGCGAAAGCGUGGGGAGCGAACAGG